Apus apus (common swift) is the source of this 4335-nucleotide long non-coding RNA. RefSeq lists it as uncharacterized. NCBI's taxonomy places the organism in Eukaryota, Metazoa, Chordata, Aves, Apodiformes, Apodidae. The transcript has 2 exons. The record is from RefSeq and is a predicted model, not a curated record.
GCCAACGGACGCCGGCGGCGCGGGGCGGGGGAGAGGCGGGUCCCCGGGGGCUCCUCGGCGGGAAGGCGGCUGCGCGACCCUCCGGUGAAUGCAACCCGCGCUGCCCCCGGGGUGGGAGGGGUCCCUGCGUGGACGGCUUCUCCGUCGGGGCGGUUGGGGAGCCGGGCGGUAGGGCCCGGGGCUCCUGAGGGGAGAGGGACCCACAGAAGGGUCGGCAGGGCCGCGACUUUUCACGUGGUCUCGGUGCCUCGGCGGAUAAAAUGCGGCGGUUCUGGGGAAGCGGGUUUGCAAGUUGUGAACUACAAAGGAGUUCAGAGAACACUGGGGCAAGUGACGUGCACCACACGCUGGCAACGCUCCAAACUUGCCUUGUAUCUAUCUCACUUCACCAAAUACUCCUUUCAAUCAAACGCAGCCUUCAUACCAGUUCAGUCGAUAAAUUACAUUAAUUUUAUUGUAAAUUAGUUAAGAGCAGACAUGAUUAAUGAACACAAAAUAUUAGGUAUGGCCUGGGUUCUAAAAAAGAGGAAACAUCAAAAGGGAGAACUGCAACCACCAGAGUCUGGAUGUACAGUGAGAUCAGGAACAAAUGUUGAGGGAGGCUCAGAAAAGGGAACACUUCUUUCUUUUGUUGCUUUUAUCUGCUUUGUUGUGAUGGAGGAAAAAAACAUGAUGGAGGAGAAACAGUAAUGAAUUUAAUGUAAACAUAACUCAACAGUUGAGUAUUUUUAUGAUCAUUCACUACAGACAAGCCCACCAACACACACUGCUGCUCAGAGUCCAGAUGCAGAGUUACUGGUAUAAUUACCUGCUCUGUACUUUAGCACAUCAGGACCUUCCUGAGUUUUUGCAGCAUCCAGCAUUUGCAUUGGACACGCUUCCACGUGUUCAGCAGAGACCUUGCUGCCCACAGAGGCUACCAAGUACAUUCAGUUCAGUCUUAAUGCUUGUACCUCCCGCAUUUUCACAAUGAUUGUGUUUUCCAGUAUUCAGUUAGAAAUACUAACAAAAUAUUAGUAGAAUCAAAUUAAGGAACUAAUUCCAUCCACGUGAGCUACUGCCAUGCAGGUCCUGGUGUGCAGCUGGCAGGGACAUGGGGUUUUUCUCUAAAGGAAUGAGUUUGAUGUUUGAGUACAGGUCACCUCCUGUUCCCUUUCACUUCAGUGCAAACAAGUCUGACUGCAGUAAUCAUAAAACUGGGGACUCAAAGUGACUUUUAAAGCUACAUUUAAAUUAAAACCUGAAGAGUAAAGAGCAGUGUCUGCAGAACAUUCCUUUUUGCAUAAUACACAUUAUGAGGGUAGUAUAUUAAAUUAUUCAGAAUGACAUUUUCCUCUCCAAAUUACCUCUAAUCAGCAUUCACCAUGGGAGCAUAAGGCGUAGAGGUUCAUAGAAACUUUUGGAGUCGGCUGGCUUCUAAAACUGACUGGAAUGCUCAGUAGGAACAGCUAACCAGUGGGUUAACCAGUACAUGUGGUUUCACUUCCAGUUGGACCAAAGCUGAAAGACUCCCAACUUACCCUGUGCUCUCUCAGAAGAUGGUGUGGAGCAUUCUUAGAGCAACCUGCAGUCUUGGAAUCUUGUCUGCUGAGAGGACAAGAGCUCAGACCUCAGAAAGCAAGGCUGGUUCUUUCUGCAUUACCCAAACACUCCCAGAAUAACCAUAGUUUCUUAGUAAAAGACAGUAAAUAGGCCUCAGAUACACAACAUCUGCAGUCCUUUCCCAGUAGACACUAUUUGUGUCAGCUUAAAUAACUUGGACCUUAUAACUGAAAAUUCCGUAAGUACAACAGGAAAAUGUUUUAAUUGGUCAAGUUAUCACUGUCAGCAAAGAAUAAUUUUCUAAAAUUAGUUCACAUGUCUAGACAGUGAAAAAUACUGCAGGCUGAAGUCUGCUAAGAAACAUUUUCUUACACCUCAACAACUACAAAUAUCCAGAGCAGGUAAAAAACAAACUUAUUCUGCUCUAGGACCAAGAAGCAGUUCAGAAUAAUUAUUUAUCAGUCAUCUCUUGCUGGGCAAGGAAAUGCACAGGGAAGCAGAGAAAUCAAUAAUGUUUUAGUUCUGCCAGUUAAAACAGAAUCCAUUCCAACAGCUCUCCCAUCCUUCAGGACAGAAAAUCAUCUAGACAUUGAUCUGGCUUUCAGGAGUUCCAUGGGGGAAGCUCCCUGCCAUCUCCAUUUGCAGCACAAUCGUGUCUGUGGAAAGAAAGGGAGCACCUGGAGACAGUGCUAUGGUCUCAGAGCUAUAGGUACUGCUUGCUGCCUGCUGGAAAAAAAAAUGUGCAAGAACUUGAGUUUAAUGGCAUGUUGUUAAUUAUUUUCCAUGGCCAAGGCCUCUCACGAGCCACGUGAAGUCUGCCCUAGAGCAAAGCUUGAGUUGCACUGUCACUUUAAUCUGGUACAUGCAGCUCUGCUGCUGAGUCAUCUCUCCUUUCUCUACCCUCAUUUUCCUAUUCCUGUCCCUCUCUUAUGCUGGAACAAGCAUUUUUCUAGCUUUGUAGUAAACUGGUCUGUAUUAAAAAUGACAUGGUUUGUUUAGUUUUGUUUACUGCAUCAGCAUUGGUACUUGUGCCAUGACAAGCAGAGUGCCUUUUUGAUAGCACUGGUUUAUUCAUGCUUGGGGAGUUACACUGCGAUUCUACUUCUCACAAAUUCCAGAAAGUAAGGGUGGAAAUUCUCUAAAUAGUGUUUUGUAUCACUGAGGAGGCUGCUUUCCAUCAUUUUGCUAGUACUGCAUCCACAACACGUCAACAGCACUUGUAAUAAUGUUAAAACACAAAGUCUGUACAUGGUUGUUUGAAAACUGCAAAUUCAUUCUGGCUUUCUGCAUACUAAUUUAUGCAGACAGGCCCAAAGCUGUCUGCAUGGAACAGGGCCAGAAGACUUUGUGCUAAAAAAUAAACUACAUUAAAAAAAAAAGAAUAUAAUUGGCUCAACUCAUCACCAUCUUAAAAAAUUCCCUGUAUACAGGGCUGAAAAACAUGCUCAUAGAGAUCUAGUGAUUAAUUUAGGCAACUCCCUGGCAUCCCACCUCCUUGAGGAGGCUACGAGGCAAGUGCUGGAGCAAUGUCUGGGCUUUCACCAAGUUAUAUCUCUACAGCUUAGGGGCCAUUUGCAGGUAGCACUACUGACCACUUAUCCUGAAUAGCAGCUACCACAAAUUAUCCCCUCCACACACCCCAGAAAGAACAAGAGCCACUAUUUUUAGGUUCUAUUAUUCCACCUCCCCACCAAACACCAUCAGAGCUGUGCUGAUGUCAUCUCUGAUGGCAGCACUCAGCACCAGACCCUCAGGUCUGCUGUUAGACCAAAACAGCUAUUUCAAUUCAAUACCAUCCAGAACUGUAGGGCACAGAGUCAACAUGUACCUAGUCAGACAAGGUGCUGGAGAAGAAUCUACAAUGUUUUUCACAGAGUAAGGAAGUGAGAUAAGUCUAAGAACAGUUUCCAUUAUGUACGACAGGAGUAUUUUUAUACAUGAAGGAUGCCAGUAAGAAGAAAAUUCACACAUUUAGUUCAAAAUUUAAAUUCUAGAAACCUGAGGGAUUCUAGAAAAAAAAAAAGGGGGGGGAGGGGCUUUUUGUUUACUAUUGAAAACCUCACAUUUCAUAAGCAAAUUGAAAACUUUAAAAAGGUUACCUCCAUGUUUAUGAAUGAAAAAUAACAGAUCAAUUUAAUGCCAUUAUUUCAGUAAAGUAUUCAGGCUGGAAACACAGCAAGUAGUAUUGCCUGCAUUAUUCCAUUAGUAUAAGCUGCCUUUAAAGUCAAAGGAAAAUAAGAAUGCUUCUAUACCUAGACUUACACUAAUCAAAAUGCAUGUACCUUUAGACAUGCAAAAGCACUUGGCAAGAACUGCUAAAAACAAACUGAUACUGUAGGGUUUAAUUUAUUCCAUCUACAAGAAUCUACAAUUAGAAAAGUCUCAUCUUCAAACUGUACAGUACAUUUACAUUAGCAGACACUUCGCAGCUGUCCUCACUCCUCCACUUCUGUACAAAUCAUACACAAUAAAAGUUUUGUUUUACAAACAUUGCUUUACAUGUUAAUAUAGAUGAAAAUAUUGUUCUCUGGCACUUCCUCCAUGGUGCCUGUGUAUUAGAGCCCAGAGCACUUUGGAUCUGUGCUUUUGGAAUCUUCAGCUCGAGUAAUAUGGACCGAUCAACAGGCCACAGCUUCUGCAACUUCAAAGUUUUAAAUAAUGAGAAAAUCUACCACUUUGUUUGUAUAACAAUCAACAGUUUAUUAAUGGAUAUGGUGAAAUUUUAGCUAUCCACCAAGGAUGUGUAAAAAAUUGUCAUGAAAGUAAAAAUAAAUAAAGCUGUUUUUAAAAUCA